RNAcentral lists this ribosomal RNA (497 nucleotides) under uncultured bacterium. RNAcentral describes it as "partial 16S ribosomal RNA". It matches the Rfam family "Bacterial small subunit ribosomal RNA", at positions 28 to 507 of the family's 1533-position model. The record is from RNAcentral.
GAUGAACGCUGGCGGCGUGCCUAAUACAUGCAAGUCGAGCGAACAGACGAGGAGCUUGCUCCUCUGACGUUAGCGGCGGACGGGUGAGUAACACGUGGAUAACCUACCUAUAAGACUGGGAUAACUUCGGGAAACCGGAUCUAAUACCGGAUAAUAUAUUGAACCGCAUGGUUCAAUAGUGAAAGACGGUUUUGCUGUCACUUAUAGAUGGAUCCGCGCCGCAUUAGCUAGUUGGUAAGGUAACGGCUUACCAAGGCAACGAUGCGUAGCCGACCUGAGAGGGUGAUCGGCCACACUGGAACUGAGACACGGUCCAGACUCCUACGGGAGGCAGCAGUAGGGAAUCUUCCGCAAUGGGCGAAAGCCUGACGGAGCAACGCCGCGUGAGUGAUGAAGGUCUUCGGAUCGUAAAACUCUGUUAUUAGGGAAGAACAAAUGUGUAAGUAACCAUGCACGUCUUGACGGUACCUAAUCAGAAAGCCACGGCUAACUACGUG